Molecule: ribosomal RNA, 1173 nt
Filed under: human gut metagenome
Description: bacterial LSU rRNA
Rfam family: Bacterial large subunit ribosomal RNA
Source: RNAcentral
AUUCCAAUCGAACCCGGAGAUAGCUGGUUCUCCCCGAAAUAGCUUUAGGGCUAGCCUGAGGUAGUAAGUAUAGGCGGUAGAGCACUGAUCGGGCUAGGGGCCGUAAAGGUUACCGAACCCUGUCAAACUCCGAAUGGAUAUACUGUAGAGCCUUGGAGUCAGACUACGAGUGAUAAGAUCCGUGGUCAAAAGGGAAACAGCCCAGACCACCAGCUAAGGUCCCCAAUGUCGUACUAAGUGGAAAAGGAUGUGGGGUUUCAUAAACAACCAGGAUGUUGGCUCAGAAGCAGCCACCAUUUAAAGAGUGCGUAAUAGCUCACUGGUCGAGAGACCCUGCGCCGAAGAUUCCCGGGGCUAAAGUACGAAACCGAAGCUGUGGCUGUAUACGUAAAGUAUACGGGGUAGGGGAGCGUUCCCAUAGGGUAGAAGUCGAACUGGAAGGUUCGGUGGACUUGUGGGAAGUGAGAAUGUUGGUAUGAGUAGCGAAAAGAAAGGUGAGAAUCCUUUCCACCGAAAGCAUAAGGAUUCCUGAGCAACGAUCGUCGUCUCAGGGUAAGUCGGGACCUAAUCCGAGGCAGAGAGCGUAGGAGAUGGACAACUGGUUGAUAUUCCAGUACCGGUAGUAAUUGUUUGAGCAAUGGAGUGACACAGAAGGGCAGGCAAGCAUGCGAAUGGAAGAGCAUGUGUAAGCGUGUAGGGUGGUGCAUAGGCAAAUCCGUGCACUGAAAGCCUGAGGCGUGAUGCGGAGUGAGCAGAGAUGCGAGCGAAGUUGUUGACCCCACACUGUCGAGAAAAGCUUCUAGUGAGAGAGCUACCGCCCGUACCGUAAACCGACACAGGUAUGCGGGGAGAGAAUCCUAAGGUGCGCGGGAGAACCCUCGUUAAGGAACUCGGCAAAAUGUACCCGUAACUUCGGGAUAAGGGUAGCCACUGUUGUGAAGUCCCAUGCGGAUGGAGCAUAGAGUGGUCGCAGAGAAGAGGCCCAAGCGACUGUUUACCAUAAACACAGGUGCCUGCUAAAGCGAAAGCUGACGUAUAGGUGCUGACACCUGCCCAGUGCCGGAAGGUUAAGGAAGGAUGUUCGGAGUAAUCCAAAGCAUUCGACUGAAGCCCCGGUGAACGGCGGCCGUAACUAUAACGGUCCUAAGGUAGCGAAAUUCCUUGUCGGGUAAG